This 88-nucleotide transfer RNA is filed under the name Actinomadura livida. RNAcentral describes it as "tRNA-Pro". Lineage: Bacteria; Bacillati; Actinomycetota; Actinomycetes; Streptosporangiales; Thermomonosporaceae. The record is from RNAcentral.
GCCAUCCGCUGGAGAACAUGGCGCUCAUGGCCCUGGGCGGGCUGUGGCUGUCGGCGCUGCUGCUGGUUCCGUGGCCUGCCCGGCGGCU